Molecule: long non-coding RNA, 10009 nt
Organism: Myxocyprinus asiaticus (Chinese sucker)
Lineage: Eukaryota; Metazoa; Chordata; Actinopteri; Cypriniformes; Catostomidae
Exons: 3
Source: RefSeq, a predicted model, not a curated record
AAACACUGGAGCAGCAAGCUGCAGGACAAACCCCUAAAACACAUCAACACAAACAAGACACGCCAUUAACAAGCGGCAUGUACAUUGUUGUAACAGUACGUUUUGAAAUGUGAUACAUUUGGCUUUUGUUUGCACGUAGUUAUGGCAUGUUAUUGAAUAGAUGGUUGGCUAAUGACUUUGUCCAGGUAAAAUUGACACUUUUGAGGAACAACGUGUCCUGUAAACCUGUGUAAUUUUUUACAUUUGUGGAAAACACAUUAAUAAAUUAAUUUACAGGAGUAUAAUGAGAGAUUUUGUCUUAUAAGGUAUGCAGUUGACAGCUUGCACAAAAGAAUGUGCGAGAACUGGAUCUCAAGGGACUUUUUUUAACAGUAGAAUUUCAGAUUUUCUCACAUUAAAUUUUCUCCACUGUCUAAUCUCAGUGUGUAGCGCCUCCAGUGGCCAAACGUUGUAACAACAGGCACAAGCACAAACAUGAGGUCAACCAAAUGACUUAUCAACCACAACACUGUCUGAAGGUUGGGGUCAGGGUCAUUUAAAAACGUGAAUAUUAGUCAAUAAGUUGGUGUUUUCACAUUGUGUUCACUCAGAAAGAAAGGAAUAUCAACACAAUUUUUUUUUCACUGUCCAUCUGUUUACUUUUAAAUAUUACUGAAGCAGGUGUAAGUUUAUAACAAAGUGUAUAAGACAAAAAUGAAGACCUGUUUAUCAUUUAGCUACAUUUGUGUCUGAAAAUAUCUAUAGAAUGAGGUGUAGAUAUAACUAUAGACAUAGCAAAUAUAAAUGUUAUAUAUUAUCUGUUGGGUGAAUUAGGGAAGAUGGACAAUUUUGUCACGCAGAUGAAUGGAAAAAAAAAUAGUCCCACUCUACCCUAAUUCGCCUUAUGUUAUUCAUCCCUCUUGGGUCGUAAUACAGAAACUUCCUGUCUUAAGUCUGACAGUAGGUUAAACAUACUGUAUGAAAGCCUAAAAUCAUCAUGAUUACUAACCAGAUAAGAUAGGAUUCUAGAGUUAGGAUGUUUUGGUAAUACAGCUGAGGUCCCCAACUAAGAAAGACUUUUUACCUGCAGUUGUUUCAGUUCAAGAUAUGAUUAGCAGAGAGAAGCUAGACAUUGACAAAAUCCCAGUGGAACACUUUGAAAGGUGAUGGCUCAAAGUUGAUCCCUCUAAUGAGAUUUCACAGAAAAGCACUGAACACAAAUUAGUGACCAUAGUACUGUCACUUUCUGUUUCAUGCAGAGUUUGUAAUGCUGCCAGAUUAGAUUUCAUCGAAGCACUUCAGCCAGAUUUACAGUCUUCGUCUUUGCCAGAUUUUGCACUCCUGCUGAGCUGAAGUCAGGCUAAUUGGCAACUGCUAGAAGAGUUAUGUAUGUAAUGAUAAUCAUAGCUCAGAGGUAGAGGAAAAGACAGAGAAGUGUCCCCGUAAAUUAAUAAAUUGAGCAUCUUGUUGAGAAUCUGCAGGUGAUGGAGUGUCAAUAGCACAUGUGGUUGGCAAGCUUUCUGUUCUUUAGAACUAUUGUAAGAUAAUAUUCCUAAGAUAGGAGAAACUUGAUACAUGAUAAAUACCUGACAUGGCAAAACUACGAAAAAAUAGGCAGAGUUGGAUACACUACAUUCUAAGGAAAACGGCUUAAACUAAAUCUGCGUAUUUAAAACCUUUUUUGUAAAGGACAAAUGUUAUUAUCCACAAUGUGGUGAUGCAGUAAGAUAAGCAAACAGAUGCUUCAUUCAGCUGCCACUCCUAACAAAGCCCUGCACAUCACAGUCAACACAAAUGUGCCAUGGUACAGUAUGUCUCUGUCUGUCAACAUAGCCAGGGUGGAGAUGUCACAGACUUGCUCCAAUAAACAAAUCCAUUGCACUGCUACUGCACAGUUUAAAAACUAGUUUGAAAACCAUUACAACUGGUUUCAAUGUACAUAUUAUUUUAAAUACAGAAACACUGAGUGGCACUAAUUAUCUACACAGUAACCCCUUAUGUAACAAGUCCUCAUUACUGAUUAAUGUUCUCAUGCCUAUAUGAAUGCCACACCUGAACCAUUUUUUGUGACGUUUUCUUUAGAAAAUGCAUACGCAGGGCACAGCGAUAAUUACUAUGAAAGAAUUCACUUUCGGACACUCAUGUUUCCAUUCUGUGAAUAGCUGCUUCUUAUUAGGUCAAAAAUUGAAAUCUAGUUCAUCCAAGAGGCUGACAAUAGAUUUCAAACAGAAAAGAAGCACUCACCAUACCGAGGAACAAAAUAUGUAAAUAACCUCAUCUAUAGUGUAAACUGUGUAAUGACUUUGUAUCCUGCGAAGAAAAACAAAACAAUGCAAGUUAUGUAAGACUUGCAUAGACCAUCUAUAACUGUUUCCAACGCGGUCCACAGCAGAUGAAGAGCGCAGUAUUGCACUUCACUGAACUUGACAUACCAAUUUUCACACCUUGUAGAGCAAGACUUGCAGUAUUUUACUUCUUGCCUGUUUGAGUGGUUAGGCGAGACCAACUUUCUUCACCCUCACUACACACCUAAACAAUUAAUUAAUCACCUGUCAGUAUUAACGAUACACUCACACCACUCCAUUAUUCUUUCACUUACCGCCUGUCUCUCCUCUUAAAUAGACUAGGUGAGUAGGGAGGUGGGAAGCUCAUGGCUGUGGCUCGAUGUGGACAGUAGAAUCUGGAAAGUCACACCUCAAGAUUGUGGGUUUUGUCCAGCUUUACAGUUCGACCAGUGUGAAAGUGUCCCAUUUUCUCAACUGGAUGGGAGGGAGAUGGACAUACAGGGAUGCUGUCCCCCCCCACCCAACCCCCAGUUCUCUGUCUGUCUGUCAGGAGAUUUAGGUAAAUACUCAGAAUUUUCCUUUAGAUAAAUGUGUUCAUGGGUAGUUACUUUUUUUGCAACAUUAAUGAAAGCAUAAACCUUUUAGACUGGGUUCCUAAAUCUUUUGACCAGUACAUUUUCCUACUGGCUUUUCCAACAAUAACUUUUCCAGUCAUUACAGGAUAGGGAUUUUUAUUUAGCAUAAUAUUAAAUUAUUUUACAGAGAUUGCACUCACAAUGAGCAAUUUCCAGCCCAUGAAAUAUUUCAGAGAAAUGUUUUACCUAUAACAUUUUUGUAAUUUAUCUCACUUUUCUAGGUCUUAAAAUCAUAAUUUUAAAAUUCCAAGUCAGUUACCAUGACCAUGGGAACACUGAUCGGAGAAUGACAAUAAUUUUAAUUGUUUUCUGAACAACUUAACAAUGCAGUACAGAUAUAAUCUUGGUCUCUCUGUGUUGCAAUCUGGAAUAUCUGAGCAUAACCACCUCAGAUGACUCUGCAGAAAACAGCAAAGCACCCAUCAAGAAUUUUCCAUAACUCUUUAUGGGAAAUAUUGUUUACAGUACAAUUACCCUUUUCUUCAAAGAUAAGGCAACAUGUUUCAACUGUACAUGCUUUGAUCUCACCAGACACAGCUUUGUUUUGUGACUAGUCUGGCAAACGGGAUGAAGCCAUGAGUGAAUUUGCAAAAAAAAAAAAAGGCAGGUAUGUAACACAGCAUAGUGUGUACAUGCAGCAUAUGCCACUGUGUUUGUUUGCCCACAAAAAGCAUGUUGAUACAGGAGACGUGAAUGCAGUAUGUUAUGUAAACAAUUGAUUAAAAAUACAUUACUUUAAUCCUGUGAAUAUGUUUAACUGUCUAGCUGGGCUGUGUCAAGAAAGGCUUGUUUUAUCUAGUGUAAUUCUUACAGAACUAUAUCAUAUCAGCCCAUAGACAGACAGACAGACAGAGAGAGAGAGAGAGAGAGAGACAGACAGACAGACAGACAGACAGACAGAUAGAUAGAUAGAUAGAUAGAUAGAUAGAUAGAUAGAUAGAUAGAUAGAUAGAUAGAUAGAUAAGCCUUAACUACUUGUUAUGUUCCAGGGGUAAAACUUGAACAUGUUUUGUGCAUUUUAAUAUUUUCUUUUUGCCAUACAGUAACUAUGCCAUGUCAGGGUGGCUUUCCAUCAUGUAUUGCACAGAAACUCUUGACCUACUUGAGAGUCAGUAGGGUGAGUGACAGGUCCUGCCUUGAAUUGCUAAUAGGACAAGAAUUUAGGCUAGAGAACUACAAAUCAGGACACUUACAGUACCUCUGCAACACUUUUUGAAACUACACUGAAUGCUCUUAGUGACUAUUAAAUAUGCAUUGUUCGGAAACCGGCUUCAGCUAGCCUUGCUUUCAAUGCUGUGCAUGCAUAUACAAUGCUCAUGCCUGCAUGUUUCUCAUUAACAUGCAAUGAAACAAGAGAAAUGAGGUGCAAAACAGGUCAUUAUAUCACCCCUGCCUCCACUUGAGUAAUUUCUUAGAGUCUGCAUUUUUGUGCAGUGACAGACUGAACCAUUAUGAUUGGUCAGAUUCUCAAUGGCACUAUUAUCUUAGGGCAUGAAUGAACUGCUUAUGUAAGCCUCUAUCUGAACAGUUAUAAAAGCAUCUCUAAUCAUACAGUUUGUAUUAGCAGGUGUUUUGUACCUUUACAGCCCAGGUGUGUCACAGAUCCAACCUUUUUGUUGCUUUGACAUCUGUCGAGACAAGACUUAUCUAUAGGCCAAUGUAGACCAGAGUGCUUAUAGGUUAAACAAACAUCUCUGUGGUUACCCAGUUUCCAACUGGCUGCCUCUUUGCACAUGGAAAUUCUGCAUAGCCUAUGCCAAAGACAGAAUCACAAUGACAGACAGCCUAGGCCCCCUGUAAUACACAGAGUAAGCCACUUGAGGCUGUCAAAUAGGACAUUCAAAGCCCCUAUCCCUGCUGGAUAUUUACACCCUCUUAAGAGUUUUGUAAUCCGAGCAGAUGAACUCUCAUCUGAAUGAAUUUUUGCAACUAAAGAAGCUUCUCUCCUGCUGUAUGGGCUUGUAUUUUUUAACAGAUUUAAAGAGUGGCUAGACAGAGAAAAAUAAGGUUGCCCAUUUUUGAUCAGUGAAAUAUUGGUAGAGAUAUGAGUUGCAUAAUCCCACACUAGGGUUUACAGACUGGAAAGUAACACUUACAUUUUAUGGUACAUAUUCUUUUCACAUACACUUGCUUUGCAUGAAACAUGCAUGAAUGUAGAGUGUAUUACUACACAUGCAAAUUGUUUUUAGACAUUAUUUGUUUUAUGAAAAUUAUUUGUCUGCUCUAAUGAUAUAUUUAAAAGUUACAUAACAAACAAUAUAGGGUUCAAGACUGAGGAAACUACAGAUAAAUCUGACUAUUGAAUGUAAAAUGCUUGAGGUACAGAGAAUGCUUCAUUUAUGCUAUUUUUACCCUUUUUGUCUUAAAAAUAUUAAAGGGACAAACCACUGAAACCUAUCUACAUCUAGAUCAAGGCAUUUCAAGCAACAAAUGGAAGGCCACUACCUUUAUCAUCACUACCAUAUAAUCAUCUUCAUGAGCUUAGAACAUUAAUCCCAAGGUUAUGUUGAAUAAAAUUUGAAAACAUUUUUAAAAUCCAUUUUAAAACAUACAUUCUCAAGUUAGUACAUUGAGCUACUGUAUGUAUACAUUACAAGUCCUAAUGUACCUAAUUUCUCACAUCUGCAAGUUGUUUCUAAUAGGGUACCUCUGCAAGGUCAAAAGUGUGAUGGGUCUGUAUAUGGUGCAGAGUACAUUUUAUGAAGAACUCGGUAUCUACGGAUAUGUACCCAUGAUCCACAUGUUAAAGCAGCCCCUGCUGUGCAGACAAGAAGACAGAUCGUUCCAGAUGUGGCUGAGCUGCUGCACACCCCCUUAUUUAUAAUGCAUUGUUUUCUAAAGGAGAACUGUCAGUGUGCUUUACACGUGCAUGGCUACUUACAGGUCAUACUAAUCGAUGCCUCUCAUUAGGUCGUGACCUCCCAUGAGCUCUGCAAUAAGGAAGAGCAGUUUACCUAAGAAAAUGGACCUUGCAUGUCACAGCAGGCUUUCGUUACAAAAUACAGCCAGAUCAUACAGUCAUUCAAAUGCAGCACUUUCUCUAAUGCAGUGCUGUCAUUAAGGAUGUAUUCAUAUAAGGCUUCAGUAUAUGUUUCAUCAGCCUUUCUAAAAGCUUUCGAGAUGUAUCUAAAGUUUACAGUGGUCUUUUAAAGUUAAUACAUAUUGCACUUAAGUAAGGGAUAAUUCCAGGCACAAAAUAAACCUUGACAGGGUGAUUAGGACUAAUCCUGAAGGGGUUUAUUCUGUGAUAAUAAGCAAUUGACUGUACAUUAACAAAAAAAAAAAAUGUUACAUAGUGUAGCUUUAACUAAUGACAUUACCAUUGCCAUCAUCAUAUAGCAACGGAAAGUGUCAUUUACUGCCACAUUUAGGCAAAAGGAGGUCUGACGUGAGCCACAGAUAUGUUUUUUUGGGUAGCCUGUUCCUUUCUUGGCUUCAAAGUGGCAGCAUUACAAGCAUAACCCCAGUGUUCUGGCUUCAGUAGAUAAGUGGACAUGCCAGGAGAAUGGUGGAACAUCAGGCCUCUGAUGUCAGAGCUCGCUCAGUGCAUCCGCUCUAAAGUAGAUAGGCUGGCAUCAACACAAUGUGCAAAGCAAGCACUGAGCUUGGCAUCAAGCCUUCUGCUAAAUCCAUUCAUAAGUGCAUCAACUGAAAACAAAACAUGAGUGUCUGGAGUGGUACUAAUUUAUUUUAUCAGGUACACUUCACUGUCUAUUGGCCAGGGAAGUGCCUGUUUAUUUUCUGUAGGACCAAUGAGCCUAGCAUAAUAGAUUAAAGCAAUUCAAUGCAUGUUUAUUAAUUACAUUUUUAUGAUUCAUUUAUACUUUGUGGUCAGUGUAAUUAUCAUAGUAAAAGGUCACCUUAAAUCAUCUGUCCUCUUGCAUUGCCAAUUUGUGUUUGAGUUCUGCUUGAGUUUUUCAUUUACUGCCUUUUACUGUCAUUCAUUUAGAGAAGAAAAUAUAUAUCCCUGUAAUCAACAUGAUUGCACAGGAAAUCGACAUGUAUCCUCUGAACGUUCAUGCACCCUAAAAUUGACACUACUUCUAAACUCUUUACAAGCACCAUUAGACAUUUUGCGUGAAUUCAAGUGUGAACACAUUUCCCUCUAGCACAACUGAUAGUGCAUUGUGCAAGCAAUUUCCGAAACACAAGGUUCUGUUCCCUAGGAAGUAACCACGUUCACAUAAACUGUGGUGAACGCGAUUCAGAGGUUGCAUUUUCACUCUAAAACAUUACAUUUUUACUCCACUGAUGGUUAGGUUUAAGUUUGGGGCUUGGGUUAGGGGGUAUGGUUAAUCAAAUAUACAUUCCUGUUGACUGCAUUACAUCAUUUACAACUUAAAGUCGCUUUUGGCCCACUUUGUCAACAUUACACCUGAAAACUGGCACUCACACAAGCCCAUAUGUUUAACAACACUUCUAGCUUCAGCAAUUGGGGCAGUGAUUUGAAUUUCAGUAAUCACAGACCGAUUUCAGCAGCAGAACAUUUGACCUACUGUCGCAGAAUUCACAGUGUGAUCAGUGUGGUAUUAUGUGCACUGAAAUAGUUUGUCCUCUAAAUCAUAUGAUGUUGUCAUUAGAUGGUUUCCAAAGACAACACAGAGACAGCCUUUGACACAAUUGAACCAUAAACCUUUAAGCAAACAUUAAUGUCUAAAUAACUCUAAGGAACAGGGGCAAAGUUCAAAAAAUAUACUCUUAUCUUUGUGCAUGUUGACAUAGAGCACACACUUGCCUAUUUAAAGAUGUACACAAACAGCAAAGAUGACGUUCCAUGAUUCAAAUCCUGUCACUUUCAUUGUUUAUCAGGGCAGAUAUGAGAGAGUGAUACAGGGGCUUUGGUUAUGGGGAUGUGAUCCAUAUGUUGGUUGAAGGCUGGAUGGAGCUGUCUGCCAGGCAGGGAAGAUUUACUGCGCCUGGACCGUCCGGCUCUCAUUCUUUGCUUUUUUCUCAAAAUCACUGCCCUAAACUCAUUCCUCUUACUUUGUCAUGAAUGGAUCCUAGCAAGGAAAGGAAUUUUCUCAUAAAUGGGGCUACCCCGUUCACCCUGAGACAUAACUGAAAUUUAACCUCCUUUGCCGUUGUGUUUGCUUACUUAUUUACGGUUAUGUACAUGCAUUCAUGCAAUUACCCCUGCAGAAUGAAAAUGUGUUAUCUUCGGCUUUGUACACUCUUAAUCUCCUCAACUCAAAAGGAUUAAAUAGCUAAAAGGUAUGAAAUGAAAGAUGAUACUUGUGCAGGUAGCUAAGUCGGUGACGUAAAAGCUCUGAUCAGAGUCAGCCAGCCGAAGAGAAAUACGUAGGUCAACUGAAAGGAGCAGAAAUGUUGGUAUCUGAUAUGCAGGACUUUUACACGUAGGCAGCAUUUGGGCCAAGUAGCUGUCAUCAUAUCUCAAAAACAAUCUAGGAGCCUAGUCAGACUUGAGAAAGUUGUCCAAAAAAUUAUGAUAUGUUGGCGCACUGCCACUGCUCCAGAAACACACAAUGUUCAGAGGAGUCAGGGGAGGUGAACACCAUACAUUACCCAACAACAGCAUGAUACAAGGCUUUUCUGAAUUUGAUUAAGGUGCUCUAAAAUGAUCUCAGAUUAUCUAGCAUGCAUAUUGAGAGGAACUUUGUGGGCAAAUCAUGCAUGUUGAAAGACCACAUAAGUAUGCAACAGUUUUACUCUCCUCUGCAAACUCCAAAUACAAAGGAUUGAAAAAAAAGCCAUUGAGAAUGUAUCUUUCUAUAUAGUGUUUCUAUAUAUAUUCUUAGGCACUGUAAAAAGAAGCCAGUCAGUGGAAAGCCUUCUCAGUCUAAUGCAAAUAGAAAUGACACAAGAAAGUGUGGUGCAUUGCACACAGAGUUUUUUCUUUACUUUCAUUGUUUUUCUUCACUCUAAUUCAGUGUCCAUGAUAACUGCAUAACGAAGCAUGGCUUUUUAUUAGCAUUUUCCAUUUCCUGGAUAUCAGUGCACUGCUCCAAUAUAUUGCAAAAAAGUUAAAGAUUAACUGGAGGAUGUAAGCUCACACCAGAUGUCACUAUCAAACUUUUUAGUGUUUAUAGAAACUGAUCUCUCUGUAUGACCCUUAUUCAUAUUCCUUCUUAAGAUGCCACUUUGAUUGUUAUUUUAAGAUAUGCAGCCACACAGGCAUUGCUUUUCAUAACAGUGAACAAUGUGAACCCGCCACACCCAGAGUAAUGCAGAAGUGCCAUUUGUUUUAAAUCAUCAGUUGCAGGAAACUUUUACAAAUAUAGUUUCAGGUUCUCUGUAGCAUUAAGGAAUAGUUCAUGCAAAAACUCAUCAACACAUGAUGUUGUUCUAAACCCGUAUGUCUUUCUUUCUUCCAUGAAUCACAAAAGGCAGUGUACGGCAGAUUAAGAAAUUAAGUCAUGCAGGUUUGGAACAACAUAAAGAUUCUAGAAAGAGACUCCAUGAGUGGUUCACUUCAAAUGGCGCUGUGGCAUAAACAUGGUAACCAGGAGGUUCUCAGAAAGCCUGCCCAAGUAAACAGACCACAGGAUGCGACUCUACAUGACUCCCACAUGAGGACAACAAGGAAGCUGGCUAGGACUGACCCUAUUAUUAGACACUCUGUGAUAGACGCUGGCAUAGAAGUUGUGGUUAAUGCUGUGCAUUUCAAGACCCUGACCACUUCUUUAGCUCCUCUGUGGAAACUGCACAAGUGAACUUGUAUCAAAACAAAGUGCAUGGAGCAAUGUUAUAUAAUGCAAAUACAUUCAUUAUUUUUAGUGUGACUUAAGAGUACAAAUAUUUUUGGGGCCACUGUAAAUCUGAAAAAAGCAUGAUGGUUUAUGUUAUGCAAUUUUUUAUUGCAAUUAUCAGGAAUAAUUCUAAAAAUAAGCUUAAGUGUGGGUAUCAUAAAUAUAGUCCUUUUUUUUAUCGUGCAGUCAGAUCAUUUGUCAUGAUCUAAACGGACAUAUGAUGCAACCCUAAGUAAAGUUUGUCCGGGGGAUGUCCUGUGUCUAUUUCCGAUCUUAAUGUCUCUGUGUGUAUGAGAGAGUUCUAGAGAGAGUUAAAGACAGAAGCAGAGAGCGAGAGAGAGACAGAGAGAGCAUAUUAAAACAAGGAAAUGAAAAAAAGGAAGAGAAAGUGGUGGGAAGGGAG